Long non-coding RNA from Cavia porcellus (domestic guinea pig), 9174 nucleotides. RefSeq lists it as uncharacterized. The record is from RefSeq and is a predicted model, not a curated record. Lineage: Eukaryota; Metazoa; Chordata; Mammalia; Rodentia; Caviidae. The transcript is spliced from 3 exons.
UUGGGCUCCUUCCCCUGGCCGUGGGCACUCCAGUUGAGCGGCCUCAGAAUCACCUGGGGGCUCGUGCAACAGCACAGAGCUGAGCUCAGCCAGGUUCUUGACUCAGCAGUUCUGGGUGGGCUGAAGACAUGCAAGGAUCACAUGAUCCCAGGAGACGCUGCAUAGAAACCUCGUUGCAGACCAGGCUUUCUCAACCUCAACCUCCAAUGCACAUGAGAGCCGACAGAGAGUGCCAAGGACCACUGCCUAAAGCACACACUCAGUUGGCCCCAGUGUGGGAGCAGAUGUACUAAGAAGAAUGGAUAAACACCACUCAAAUCAGAGAAACCACUUUUUCUUCAAGAAUGAGCAAAUAUGUCAAGUGCAAAAAUUAUCUGCAGCACCAAAUCCUGGCAAGUGAUUUGCUAAAAAAUAGCACGGCUUAAAAAAGGCAGACCCAGAAUUGAAUCCCUUCUAGAUGGGUGACCUGGAAUGUGGCCAAGUGGAGCCCAGUUUAUGCCUGGAUCCCUCCUGGUGUAUUCACAGCCUCUGCUCCUCUGUAACCUUGGGCCCAGAGAGACUCUCAGUAGACUGAGCUAUGUAACAAAGACAGAUACAUUCUCUAUUCCUCAGCCAGAAGUUUAUCAGCAUAGACAAUAGACCCCUAUGAUAGAUGUCACAAAGGCUGCUAGUGUAUAGUUUCCAUUAACAAACUGAGCAAUGCAAUUUACACGUCUCACAGAAAUGAUCAAGAAGACUGCAUUAAUCAACUGGAACAGUGCUAUGCGUGCUCUGAGACAACAAAUAUUUUUAAUGGAGAGUGUUGACAGGCUUUGCUACCUCCUGAAGUUGGCCAAAGAGAAUCUAAGGAUUUCAGGAGCAUCUUUUAUGCCAAGGUAAAUUUCCUCUUACAAAAAAAGGAGCAGCCUUAAUUGCUGGAAGAAAAGCCAAGCUGAUUUAUGCACUGGAGAUGCAAGGUCCAUGUGGAGUGGACGAGGAACAGAAGGUUUUGGUGGUGGAGGAUAUGAAAGAAGUGAUGGCGGGACGUGAGAGCAGGAGUUAAGUAGAGACAGAGACUGUUUUUUUGCAGGUCAAAAAGAAGUCUGGUGACAGCAAGUCUCGGCCAGGACACGGACAACAGGAGCUCUUAUUUACUGCAGGUGGGUGUAUAAAGUGAUGUAACUACUUUGGAAAACAAUUCCUACAGGCAUUAUUUGGUAAAGUUGAACAUGUGCAAGCCCAAGUUAAUUUCCUUACAAAUACAUAUUGCAGAGAAGCACUUAUAGUUAGGGUGCAGGAAUCAUAUACUAGCACGUUCACAGCAGGAGAACAAAAGGAAAUGACCCAAAUGAUGACAAGAAAGAGAGUGGGUAAAUAAACUAUGGGACAUUUACACCUGGAAUAAGGUACAGUAGUUAAAAGUAAGGAAUCACAGCAUAUACAGUCAUGUGAGUUAGUUUUAGAAGCAAACUUGAGCAAAAAAUUUUUAACAAAUCAUGGAAAAUUACAUGCAGCAUGACACCUUUUCUAUAAAGGUGAAAGUCAAGUUAGACUAAAUAAUAUCUUACUUAGGAGAGCACACACAACACCCAAGGGAGAGAGGCAGAAACGAUUUUUAGGACUUAACAAUGCUCUGCUUGCACAAUAUGGGUGGUAGGGUUUUUAAAAUUAUUAUUAUGCCCCGUUAUGUCAUGCAUUCAUUUGUAAAAAUAAAAAUACACAAUAAAUGUAAAGAAAAAGAUAGAAAUUAAUCAAAAUAUAUCAAUAAUCACAAUAAAAAGACUAAAAAAGGCAGAGAUGGUAAGGCUGUUUUUAGCAACAGAAAUAACAAAUCUAGUUAAAUGCGUUUUAGAAGAGGCAAACAUAAAACAUAAGGACACAGAAGAAUUGAAAGUUAAAGGACAGAAGAAGACAUUAUAAAACUAGAGGUAAACAUAACAUCAGACAGAUAGAUAUUAAGGUAAAAAUUAGGGAUUUCUAACAUGCUAGGAUCCACGAGAGUCAAGAGGGUCUCUGCAAAAUCCCCAUAAAAUUAUAGCUUAUUUGUAUCUACAUAAUACAGCCUUGUUGUAUAAAGAAAAACUCAACAGACUUGUAAGGAGAAACUGACAAAUUCAAAAUUAUAGCAGAGGUUUUAACAGAAAAUUCAGGUUUGUCCUUGGAUCUAUUUUUGCUAAUUUUUCCCUCUUAAUUUCUACAAGAUUUUAAAGAGGGAGUUUCUCCCUUUUGUUAGAUCUUGUUUUUUUAUGCCUGAAAAUAAGGAUUGCACCAGAUGGGUAAGGAAUCCAUGCAAUACCAAUAAUUCCAUGUCAGGACAUGUCUGGGACAGGGUCUUGGCUCAUGAUGGAUGCUCUGAGCCCAAUGGCAGCUGAUGUUUUUCCCUGGUAUGUCCCCGAGAGUCCAUCACCUAACAAUGUCACCUCCAAAAUUCCCCCUUCCUGUCUCAGACAGCCUUAUGUGACAUGCAGAAGCUUGUACGCAUCUUUGUCAGCUGAAAAGCAGACAGGGGAAAGCACAGCCCACACACUGAGCUUCUGGGAGCUCCAUAUCUGGUUUGCUUCUUGAAGUCAAUUAGGAGGUGACGGAGUGAGGCAGUCAGUGCAGGCUGACUCUGUGGGAGGCUGGUGUUGGUCCCUGGGAACAGGACAGAGCCAGAUGUGAAGGCUGGGAGUUAAGCUUCCCUAAGGGGUGUUCCCACUAAAAGGCCUAGUCUGGCAGUGAUGGUGUCAUAAUCUGAACCCGAGACGAGGAGUCAGGUGCCCUGGGAAGCUUUUCUGCCUUGAUAAUCACUUAUGCAACGUUGAGCAAGUUGAUGUUUCUCUUGCAUUUUUUUCUCAACUCAAAAGUGAUAGGACUGAGUUCUAAACUCAGAGGCCUUCGCAGCUCUGGUCAAGACAGAGAACGCUACGUCUUGACUUUUUUAUUCAGUGUGAAGAAGGAACUAACAAACACCAAGUGCCUACUAGGCUCACCAUGCUUUAUCCUGGGGUAAGAUGGAUGCCCACAUGUUCCGGUUACUUUUCUAGGCCUCACCUCUGAACGUCACGGCAUAAGGGAUCUAGCCCUCAAUACAUGAGCAUUUGAGGACACUUUUUAUCUAAACCACUUUUUAAUCUAAACCUCAGUUUAUCUAUCUGUGGAGAUCACAUUAAAAUACCACAGCAGGUUGUAAAGAUCAAAUGGUCUCCUCACAAUAGCCUGCCUGCUUUCUUCAGGGUAGACUCUUAACAUGCACUUUCUUUUACUAGGCCUCAGCUCACUCUGCACAGACAAUUUGUCUCAUUCUUGACUGUUACUUUUUUAAUUAAACUUUUCUACUGCUUUUUGCCUGUUUUGUUCAAUUUUUUGUUGGAGAGAAGAAGAACCUGGAAUCUACCUUCAGGAGAAGAGGUCAGCAACCUAGAGGCGGUAACAUUUCUCUCUCACUUUCAGAAGGAGCUACUCAACAGUAUUUUGGCACAGCCAGCCGGGAGAAUCAGAAGCCAGGAGAUUCUGCUAAUAUGUUGUACAGCAAGCCGGGAGUAAAGCUCGGGUACCAGAGACCAAGUAAGGUCCUGGUUGGGCACAAUCUUUAUUUCUCUCUGAGGAUUUUUAUUUUCUCCUUCAUUUCCUGUCUCCCUUAAGCUAGGAACUGGGGGACUCUUCUCAAGGCUCCAGGGAGGGGCUUCCGGGCCCAUGGGGGAAAGGAAUAAAAGGCUUUUGUUUUUCUUUCUAGCUGCUUGGGUUCUUUCUGUGGGUCCUUGUUAUCUGUGCAUUUGUUUUUUGUUCUUUGUUACUCUUUUUGGAAUUUAAUCUGGUCUCUGCUUACGCCAGCUUUGUAAGUGGCUUUCCUUUUCAUUUGUAUUGUAUUUGUUUGCUACUUUCUUAGAGGAAGUUCACCUGGCCUGUGCUUACCGCAGUUCUGUGAAUGUUUUUUUUUUUCUCAGUUUGUAUGGGAUAACGCGAGGAUGAAGGAUGCCCAACCGUGGUGUGGGUGACAUCAAUAAACAGGCUUAGAAUUUGUGUGGACUCAUGCAACUAGACAGGUUUAGGUCAACUGUCUUCUUUCUUUCCUUGUUUCUUCCUUUUCUUCUUCCUUCUUCCUUCCUUCCUUCCUUCCUUCCUUUCUUCUUCUUCUUCUUCUUCUUCUUCUUCUUCUUCUUCUUCUUCUUCUUCUUCUUCUUCUUCUUCUCUUCUCUCUCUGUCUCUCUCUGUCUCUGUCUCUCUCUGUCUCUCUCUUUCUCUCUCUCUCUCUCCCCCCCUUCCUUCCUUUCAACUAGCUUUACAAGCUAAUCCUCUGAUUUUGGAGAACAAGAGGGAGGAACCUCAUUUCUUUUUGAAUUAUUAUAAACAAAUGGUGGCCCUUUUCCACAUGGAAGAGAAAAUACAGCUAUCCAUUUAAAAGGAAAUGCUCAAGGCUUUUGCCAAGGUAAGACAAUGACUGGGAGGGGCUGUUUCAGCUGCUUUAGCUGACUGGCUUCUUCCUUGUUUGAAAUCCCACCUGGGACUAUAGCUUUCUUUCUUGUGUAAGUACAUAUAAUUUAAAACUCUGUUCCUGAUGACCUGAGCAAAACAAAUAGACAACAUUUAAAAUUUAAUUAAGGAGGCUGAAUAUAUGAAAGCAGAGCUAUCCCUGUUCUUAACAUUUGACUAUCAGACUAAAGGCCUUUAUAUGAGGCUGUCAAAGACCCUAAAUCCCUAGAAUGGACAAAAAUAAUUGAGAAUGUAUUUAAGGAAAUAAAGUAUAUCCUUACCCAGGCUUCAGCACUGGGAACACCUGACUAAAGAAAACCUUUCUUCUGGGGCUGGGGAUUUAGCUCAGCGGCAUAAGCGCCUGCCUUGCAAGCAGGCAGUCGUGAGUUCGAUCCCUGGUACCGAUAAAAAGGAAAAAGACAAAAAAAAAAAAAAAAAAAAAAAAAAAGAAAACCUUUCUUCUCUAUGUAGCAGCAAAGAGAGGAAAUGCUUUGGGGUGCUUGAACCAAGGGAUAGGACAUAAACUCUGCCCAGUGGCAUGCUUUUCAAAAAGUUGGGUGGAGUGGUUGCUGGAUGGUUCUACUGCCUGAGAGCAGUAGAAGCUAUAGUUGUACUAACAGUGGGGUUGAGAUAGCAGUCCUGACUCUCCAUCAGGUCAGAGCUAUUCUGGAGACAAAAGGUUACUUGCAUUUAUCAGGGAAAUGAUUCAUUAAGGCUAUGUUAUUAGAUACCUCUGAAUUUAUUAUAAAAACUUGAGCCACUAUAAAUCCUGUUUCUUUGAUGCCUAUAGUCCCAGAGGUUAGUCACUCUUGUGAGUAAGUCAUUUCCCAGAUCUGUGCAAGUAGGCAGGACAUCAGUGAUCUGCCCCUCCAAGACCCUGAAGAGGUAUAGUUUACUGAUGGAAGUAGCUUUGUCCAGUGAUAUCAAAAGGCAGAUUAUACAGUUGUCAGUUCAUAACAGGUCACUGAAGAUAUAUUUAUUCUUCCAGGAAGCUCUGCUCAAAAGGCAGAGCUAAUAGUUCUUACUCAGGUACUGAUGUUAGGAAAAAGCAGAAGGUUAAAUAUCUAUAUAGACUCCAAAUAUGCCCUUCUGAUACUAUAUGCCCAUGCAGAAAUCUGGAAGGAAAGAGCUUUACUGACUAAUAAACUGCCGUCCAUCAAGCACAGCAGGAAACUCUGCAACUCCUACAGACAGUCCAUCUUCCUAAGCAGACUGCAGACAGGCACUGUAAAGGGCACCAUAGAGACAUGUCUGAAGUGUUCUUGAGAAAUCAAAAGGGAAGCAAAAGGAUAGAGGAGGAAAAAGUCAGCCUUACAGCCUCUUAAGACUUUAGUCUUAUUCCCAGUUCUUGAGGAACCAGUAAAAGCAGUCUGUACUACCCAGGAAAAUAAAUGAGCCUCAGAACAAGGGGAAUUAAAAUUCUAGUGGUAGUUAGAAAUCAAACUGGCCCUUUCUCAAGGGAUGCAGUGGAAGGCUAUAAAAACACAUCACAAUUCCUUCCAUAUGGAAAGAGAGGCUACAUUAGAAAUGGUCAAAUUUUCCCAGGCUAGAAUUAGCAGCAACCACCUGCCAGGUCUGCAAAUCUUGCCCUCUCUGUGCCUACAAUAACCCGGGCAACUAGAACCCAUACAGAGGAGAAAGACACACCCUGGAGAGUUCUGGAAACUGGACUUUACCCAUAUGCCACCAGGUGGAGGAUUUACACAGAAGUUGGUCUUACUCGACACUUACAGGCUGGAUCGAAGCCUAUCCCACCCGUUCUGAAAAGGUUCAGAAAAGCCUGAGGUAGUCUAUGUGCUUCUUAAAGAAACCAUCCCUAGCUUUGGACUACCCCAGUCCCACAAGAGUGACAAUGGACCCUCUUUUACCUCCAAAAGGGGAGUGUCAGGGGGUGGCAAAAGCUUUAGGAAUUAAGUGCCACAUCCACUCCUCUUGGUGGCUUUAAUCUUCUGGGAAGGUAGAGAAAGCCAACUAGACCUUAAAGCAAGAUUUGGCAAAACUUUUCUAAGAGACAUCUGAGUCCUGCUCCAACUGAGCCAAUAGCAUUCAUGAGAGUUUGUAACAUGCCCCAAAUUGGGCUAAGUUUGAGCCCAUUUGAGAUGUUAUACGGGAGGCCGUUUCUGUCCUCUGAUAUGAAGUAGACCCAGAGACCAAGAGGCUCUCACAAUAUCAUUAAUCUGGGCCAAGUACACCAGGGUCCAAAUGCACUGGAAACAGAGUCCCGCCGGGUCCUGGCCAAAAAGGAUUACCUACUGUCCAUCUUAGAGACCAAGUGCUUGUAAAAAUUUGGAAAGAAGGGACACCUGUGGAUCAAUUAAAACCAAAAUGGUAGGGUCACUUCUCAGUAAUCCCUGCCACACCUACUACAGUAAAGGUAGAGGAUAUUGAUAAUUGGAUUCAUCUUUCUAGAAUAAAGCUAGUGUCAGCUGAACUAUGUGAGGAACAAAAUCACCUGAAAGGAGAGAGCUACUUCUGUGAGUCUCUGGAAACCUUGAGAUUUCUCUUCAAAAAGCAAGACUCAGGCCGGGGAUUUAGCUCAGUGGCAUAAAUGUCUGCCUGGCAAGUGCAAGGUCAUGAGUUUGGUCAUGAGUUUGAUCCUAAGUACUGGGGGGUGGGAGGGAAGAAGAUUUCAGUGCUGCUAAAGGAACUAUGGAAAUCUGACUAGCUUCCCUUAUCUGGGCUAAUAGUGAAGGUCAGUGGUCAUUAACUCUUUCCUCAUUGUUUUCUGACAGGUUUUUAAUUCUUCAAUCCAGCACCAGUGAGCACAGUACCCCAAGAUAGUUGGAGAACACAUAAUUCCCAGCGGGUCCGGUCUAUAGCUCCUUCCAGUUCAAAGAAGCUAUAGAAGACCUUCACUCCCUCAGAACGAUGGGAAUUUGUGUCUCCUGGGGAAAUGACAUAGGCCAUCAGGUUGGGGCAAAGCUGGUUGGGGAAGUAAGUGUGAUCUGUUAAUUACAAGAUUCCCCAACACAUGAGCAGAAAAAGACUCAAAGCCCUGCAUGUGGACUUCUUAUGAGAGCUCAAACAGGUUUUCAAUAAGAUGGCUUAGACUCGACAUCAGCCUGAGGUGUGGAAUCCCAGGGCUCAUAAGGAGAAAUUCUCAUGGGAUUCUUCAAGAUCUGAACAGUACAAAAGAACACAGAUACUAAGGAAAGCUAGUUAUUAUGGUUUUCCUCAUGACAGUCCUCUCUGCUGUCUCCAGGGUGUACUUUUACCUUGCUUUUUCUUUUUUUUUAAACGUGGUCCAAACUUGUUCUGUAGAGCCAAUUUCCCUCUCACACUUCACUUUUGCUUUUUCAAAUAAAUGUUGCUGCUACUAAAAACAAAUUAAGUACAUAGCAUGAUACUUGGCAUGUGACAACAACUUGAUAAAAACAUAAUGUCAUUCCAAAGAAUAUAAGUUUAAUUGUGUUAUUUUCAUCUGUGCUACUCCCAACAUCUUUAAACCAAGAAGAAGCACAAAGAUGAAGCUCUGUCUUGGUAAGGGGUAUUCAUAAAAACUAAGAAUAGUAAAUUCAUGUGGUUUUCAAACCAUAAAUAUUUUUGGUUUUGUUUGUUCCUUUUCUGAUGAACAUACUGAAUACAAAAUGCUUCCUCCAUGACUUGCCUUUGUUUAUUAUGGGUAAGGAGAGCUUUUUGACUGAUUAGUUUCCUUCCUCUGUCCAUCACCUAUUUAGUCACAAAUCUUGAAGAUUCUCAGAAUUAUACAUGGAAAAUGUGAUCAAAUAAUUUUGAAAUUUUUAUAGACUGAACACUGAGGUUGAAUCAUACACACACUAGUUCUUUGGCAAACAAAUCUAUACACCAAAAUCUUGUCUGUGGUUGAAAUCCUACCAAUGUAAGGGAGCUUACAUUUCUCAAAGCAGCCCACACUUAACUUCCCGGGAGGAAUUAGUUUUGAUGCUGUUUUUCCAUGGAAGGCAUAUGACAGGCCUUCAGGUCACUUUCAUUUGUCUGUCCUAAUUUUGUUCUCAGGAGCAAUGCAAAGUCAGUCCCACACCUCUUCCAAGUAGAAGUUGUUAAAAACUAGUGGUUAACUUAAUGCCAGCUGGAUUACAUCAGCAUGGUGCUGAGCGUAGGCAUCUCACCUGAGGAAAGUUGCCAGCAUAACUAGAGAAAUGGAGAAGGAAAAGCUAUUGCAUCGAGGCAUUGAGGCAUUGUGGAUUCUCCUAUGAGUUGCUGUUUGAGCCGUUGGUUCUCUUGGAGAAGCUCUGGUCCUCACAUCGAGCAUUGCUUCCUGGCUCUGGAGGAGAAGAUGUGGGCUGCUUGGUCUCCAGGAUGAACUCGUCAUGCUGGCUUCCUGCAUCUACUCAACUGUGCUUGUCGUCCGAGGAGCUUGGGGCCUCCGUGUCACUGAGGAUGGCUGUGGUGCUCUUCAGGACAUCCCUGGUCUUUGGUGUGAGUGUGACUUCUCAGCUCCAGCAUAGAGCCCUCAUCCCACCAGCACAGCUCCUUCACCCUGCUAGCAUGGACUUUCUGGCUUCCAAUGCUGACCUUUGGAUCUUCCCAGUACAGAUCCAUAAAAGAGACUGGCGUGUCCUUUGUGUGGGCUCUGGACCUCCAGUUGGAUUCAUGGAAUGCACUGUCAUGAGCUCUGGGUUUUCAUCUGGACUCAUGUGGGACAUCGCUGUGGGAUUUAGGCCCUUGACUAAAUAAUUCCAUGUUUUUGGUGUUGUGGAUAGAUUUCCUGCAUUUUCUUGUGUUAACUCCUGGUAACCAUUAUAAAAAUAAUAUUAUAAUCUC